RNAcentral lists this ribosomal RNA (1518 nucleotides) under Triticum aestivum (bread wheat). Its description in RNAcentral is "partial small subunit ribosomal RNA". The record is from RNAcentral. Lineage: Eukaryota; Viridiplantae; Streptophyta; Magnoliopsida; Poales; Poaceae.
AUGCCACGGCCGGCCAUCAUUGCUGGGUUGCUGCUGGCCUUUACGUGCAGAUGCAGUUUUUUAGUGGGUGUGGGUGCGGCUUUGUUGCCACUAUUGGGAGUUUGGGAUCUGGCCACGGGGACCCAGCACACAUUUAUCGCUCGUGGAGUUCGGUUUGCUGCCUGCCCCGAGCAUUUAUCAGCGCCAGGCCGUCCUUGUGCCAGGGGAAGGGCGACAGAUCUCAUUUCUCCCAUGGCAGGUGAAAGUCUAGAUGGCUCCUUUGGUGCUGGGAAUGUGAAUUGCAGAAAAGAACAACUGUUUACAUUUUGGUACUGCAUGAUGAACGGUUCAACGGGUUCCCUAGGGGAUCAUGUGAACGGAAAGCAAGUGCAAAGUGUUGACCCUCCUGGUCUUUCAAGUUUCAACAAUGGACCAAGACACCGUCCGUUGAAUGCAUUGAGACGCUGCCGUGGUGUAUUGUGCUUGGUGAUUAUGCCGGUGACCGCAUGCAUGAUGAUGGUUUACCUAGCCCCUGUGACAACCUUCGUUGUACGGUUGUUCAGUGUGCAUUACAGCAGAAAGUGGACGUGCUUUCUGUUCGGGAUGUGGUUAGCCAUGUUUCCCUUUUUGUUUGAGAAGAUCAACAGGACAAGGUUUGUUUUCUCUGGUGAAAAGGUGCCCCCCAAAGAGUGUGUCUUGCUGUUUGCUAACCACAGAACUGAGGUAGAUUGGAUGUACCUGUGGGAUCUUGCAUUGAGGAAAGGCCGUUUGCAGUCUAUCAAGUACAUCCUGAAGAAAAGUUUGAUGAAGUUGCCUAUUUUCAACUGGGCAUUUCACAUUAUUGAGUUUAUUCCUGUAGAGCGGAAUUGGGAGGUUGACGAACCACUAAUCCGAAGAAGGCUUUCUGAACUGAAGUACCCCAAGGAUCCCCUUUGGCUCGCAGUUUUUCCAGAAGGCACUGAUUAUACUGAGAAGAAAUGCAUCAAAAGUCAAGAGUAUGCGGCAGAGCAUGGUUUGCCUAUUCUGAAAAAUGUCCUCCUUCCCAAGAUAAAAGGUUUCAAUUGCUGCCUGCAAGAGCUGAGGAGUAACUUGGAUGCUGUUUACGACAUCACGAUCGCAUACAAGCAUCGGCUCCCAACGUUCAUGGACAACGUGUACGGCGUCGACCCUUCCGAGGUCCACAUCCACACCAAGAUCAUCCAGGUCUCUGACAUACCGACAGCAGAGGACGAAGUAUCCAGCUGGCUGACGGAGAGGUUCAGACUGAAGGACGAGCUCCUGUCUGAUUUUUUGACACAAGGCCACUUCCCCAAUGAAGGAACCGAAGAAGACCUGUCCACGCUCAAGUGCGUCGCGAAUUUUGUUGCGGUGAUCGGCAUGACGGCCUUCUUCAUCUACCUGACCCUGUUCUCGUCCGUGUGGUUCAGGGUGUUCGCGGGGUGCAGCGCCUCUUUCCUCACGUAUGCGACCCUGUACUCUGUACACGCGCCCCAGAUCGUGUGUUUGCCGGAGGCCGGCGCCCACGCCAAGAAAGCUUGA